CGGCGGACGGGUGAGUAACACGUGGGUAACCUACCUAUAAGACUGGGACAACUUCGGGAAACCGGAGCUAAUACCGGAUAAGAUAUCGAACCGCAUGGUUCGAUAGUGAAAGAUGGUUUUGCUAUCACUUAUAGAUGGACCCGCGCCGUAUUAGCUAGUUGGUGAGGUAACGGCUCACCAAGGCAACGAUACGUAGCCGACCUGAGAGGGUGAUCGGCCACACUGGAACUGAGACACGGUCCAGACUCCUACGGGAGGCAGCAGGU
Molecule: ribosomal RNA, 266 nt
Filed under: uncultured Staphylococcus sp.
Lineage: Bacteria; Bacillati; Bacillota; Bacilli; Caryophanales; Staphylococcaceae
Description: partial 16S ribosomal RNA
Rfam family: Bacterial small subunit ribosomal RNA
Source: RNAcentral